AGGUGCGAUCAUACCAGCACUAAUGCAUCGGAUCCCAUUAGAACUCCGCAGUUAAGGGAACUCGGGACAGAGUAGUACUAAGAUGGGUGACCUCCUGGGAAGUUCUCAUGUUGCACUUC
Molecule: ribosomal RNA, 119 nt
Filed under: Phaseolus vulgaris (common bean)
Lineage: Eukaryota; Viridiplantae; Streptophyta; Magnoliopsida; Fabales; Fabaceae
Source: RNAcentral